Vicia faba (fava bean) is the source of this 129-nucleotide non-coding RNA. NCBI's taxonomy places the organism in Eukaryota, Viridiplantae, Streptophyta, Magnoliopsida, Fabales, Fabaceae. The record is from the annotation of a GenBank genome assembly.
AUGGUAUUAGCAGAGUUGAUGAUUGGGCUUUUGAGGAGGGGCCUCAUUCUGAUUUUGUUGGACCAACUUCAGGAAGCACAGCCUGUGUUGCAGUUAUUAGAAACAACCAACUUCUUGUGGCAAAUGCUG